CUUGGUGCUAGGGGAACCUGGUGAGUAGGAAAGAGACCAAGUUACUGGUCCCAACGGCGUGCUGAGAGGCACAUGUCCAUAAAACCCACUGUUGGUGAUCAGACCCCGUGGAACCGACAGGUGCCCGGUAGCAGACGCAGGACCUCCGUGCAGGCAAUCAGGACCUCUCACUGGCUUAACCCGGAAGUGAAAGACCUACGGCAAUGCUGGAACUCCAUUGCAGGUAAGAGGAGGAGGUCUGGGUUUAAAAAGGCCGGACAACUCCUCCCACAACUACAGGCUGACACCAAUAUAUAUAUCUGGGACAGAGGAGAAGCAGGGAGAGUCUGGGGCAGAGGUAGAGCAGAGAAACCCAUAUAAGUUUAAAAUAACAGCAACUAUAUUGAUUACAAACAUUUCGCUAAUAAAAGGGGUACAAUUUAUGGAAAUGGGCUGUCAAAGGGUACUCAAGUUAAAAAAGGUUGUGAACCACUGACCUAGAUGAUUGACAUAAUGGACAGCGGAAACAUUGUCCAUCCUGAGAAUCAAAGAACAGUUGUAAGCUUCAUUGGCGAAACUGCUAAUCACAAAUGUGCCUGCCAUCAGUACGAGGUAAUUGAUGUGCAUCGAUCGUUCCGACUGUGUCCAGAGACUGCCCAUGGAGAGGUAGGAGCAAGUAGCUCCCCAACCUAGGAGGCUGGCAUCCGACUCCAGAAUAAAAGUGGUUUGGCAUCCGAAUAUGGCUUUCCAAUUCCAAGCCGCAAUGUUCUGGAGCCACCAUUCUAACUCCAGAUGAACUUCGUUGGUAAGAAUAAUUGAUCUGUGUGGCAAACCUAGCCACUUAAGUCUGUAUUCCUGUGAUAUUGUUGCCCUAAAGACUGUCUAAAUCUGUCAUUAUUCUAGAUUCUGUUUUGUAUGCAAUAGAGAGCAUUUGUAUGCUAGCGGCAUGAAAGACGCAAGCAUUCAUAUGGUAGUUUCACGAACAGUGAAUUUCAACACUGUUCAUGAAAUGAAUAAACUACCGAAUGGGAGACCACACAAGGGAAGUCGUGUGUCUCCCAUUAACAGUUGCAACUAUGUAUCUACCGUCAAUUAAUGCAUUGUGCGGGUGGCCGCCGUUUGGAUGUCAAACAUGUGGCGGCUGCCAUCUUUGUUCACGGAAAGCCCAGCGGUGUUUGGUCGUUGAGUGCCUGGAACUAAAAUCGGCUACUUGACUUCACGAACACCGCUGGACUUCCAGACCGUUCGGACAAAUUAUUAUUUUGGUAAAUUAACGUACAUAGUCCAUUGUCAUAUUGCAAUACAUGUUCGUGUAAAACUCUCAUUCGAAUGGCUUUGCUUUUCUAGUGCAGGGAUCUGAGCGGUAUUUCACCAGAUGGUGCGCUCAGAUCCCAGCUAUUUAAUGAGAGGUCAUUUGGCUAAUUCAACCUAUUAUUACAGUAUACCAGUUAUGGAAUUUAAUGUGAAAUUGUAUGUUUUGCUGUACGGAGAGAUAAUGUGAUUAACAGUACAUUCUUGCACAAUUAUCUCUCCAGUACAGCAGGGCAUGAUGGGAAAUAGUCUUGCAGGCUAAGGUCCCCACACAGUCCCUUGCAGUAAAACCCCUGCAAUGUCAUUCAGGAAACCCCUUGCAUGGGGACUUGCAUAAAUACUGUGACCGUGGAAUAAAAGCUCAGUUGACUCCCAAACUACGUGUCGUCUAGUUCUUGGGAAAGAGGGAUUACUACUACGCUACUUGUGAUUUAUAUGCUGAUUCCUGACUACCAGCGGAGAUACCGUGGAUUAAUCUACUACUCCGCUACAAUCUGGAUCUGUGAAUAUAAUACGUCUUGAGAUGUUGCAACGCCCUGUAGUGUAGAGGGCCUGGGAAAAUUGCCUGAAUGAAGGCUCAAAAAAAGAAAGAAAAUAUUCCAGAGAGAAUAUCUCUUCAAUAAUUGGUAGGAAGUCCCUCUAU
Non-coding RNA from Pelobates cultripes (western spadefoot toad), 1933 nucleotides. Lineage: Eukaryota; Metazoa; Chordata; Amphibia; Anura; Pelobatidae. The record is from the annotation of a GenBank genome assembly.